UACGUAGGUGGCAAGCGUUGUCCGGAAUUACUGGGCGUAAAGCGCACGUAGGCGGUCUUUUAAGUCGGGGGUGAAAUCCUGGAGCUCAACUCCAGAACUGCCUUCGAUACUGGAAGACUUGAGUCCGGGAGAGGUGAGUGGAACUGCGAGUGUAGAGGUGAAAUUCGUAGAUAUUCGCAAGAACACCAGUGGCGAAGGCGGCUCACUGGCCCGGUACUGACGCUGAGGUGCGAAAGCGUGGGGAGCAAACAGG
This 253-nucleotide ribosomal RNA is filed under the name uncultured bacterium. Its description in RNAcentral is "partial 16S ribosomal RNA". It matches the Rfam family "Bacterial small subunit ribosomal RNA", at positions 524 to 776 of the family's 1533-position model. The record is from RNAcentral.